Molecule: ribosomal RNA, 398 nt
Filed under: uncultured Arthrobacter sp.
Lineage: Bacteria; Bacillati; Actinomycetota; Actinomycetes; Micrococcales; Micrococcaceae
Description: bacterial SSU rRNA
Rfam family: Bacterial small subunit ribosomal RNA
Source: RNAcentral
CCCGGAAACGGGUGCCCCGCUUGCGGCCGGUUUACAGGUGGUGCAUGGUUGUCGUCAGCUCGUGUCGUGAGAUGUUGGGUUAAGUCCCGCAACGAGCGCAACCCUCGUUCUAUGUUGCCAGCGGGUAGUGCCGGGGACUCAUGGGAGACUGCCGGGGUCAACUCGGAGGAAGGUGGGGACGACGUCAAAUCAUCAUGCCCCUUAUGUCUUGGGCUUCACGCAUGCUACAAUGGCCGGUACAAUGGGUUGCGAUACUGUGAGGUGGAGCUAAUCCCAAAAAGCCGGUCUCAGUUCGGAUUGGGGUCUGCAACUCGACCCCAUGAAGUCGGAGUCGCUAGUAAUCGCAGAUCAGCAACGCUGCGGUGAAUACGUUCCCGGGUCUUGUACACACCGCCCGU